RNAcentral lists this ribosomal RNA (745 nucleotides) under uncultured bacterium. RNAcentral describes it as "bacterial SSU rRNA". It matches the Rfam family "Bacterial small subunit ribosomal RNA", at positions 33 to 773 of the family's 1533-position model. The record is from RNAcentral.
ACGCUGGCGGCAGGCCUAACACAUGCAAGUCGAGCGGUAGAGAGAAGCUUGCUUCUCUUGAGAGCGGCGGACGGGUGAGUAAUGCCUAGGAAUCUGCCUGGUAGUGGGGGAUAACGUUCGGAAACGGACGCUAAUACCGCAUACGUCCUACGGGAGAAAGCAGGGGACCUUCGGGCCUUGCGCUAUCAGAUGAGCCUAGGUCGGAUUAGCUAGUUGGUGGGGUAAUGGCUCACCAAGGCGACGAUCCGUAACUGGUCUGAGAGGAUGAUCAGUCACACUGGAACUGAGACACGGUCCAGACUCCUACGGGAGGCAGCAGUGGGGAAUAUUGGACAAUGGGCGAAAGCCUGAUCCAGCCAUGCCGCGUGUGUGAAGAAGGUCUUCGGAUUGUAAAGCACUUUAAGUUGGGAGGAAGGGUUGUAGAUUAAUACUCUGCAAUUUUGACGUUACCGACAGAAUAAGCACCGGCUAACUCUGUGCCAGCAGCCGCGGUAAUACAGAGGGUGCAAGCGCUAAUCGGAAUUACUGGGCGUAAAGCGCGCGUAGGUGGUUAGUUAAGUUGGAUGUGAAAUCCCCGGGCUCAACCUGGGAACUGCAUUCAAAACUGACUGACUAGAGUAUGGUAGAGGGUGGUGGAAUUUCCUGUGUAGCGGUGAAAUGCGUAGAUAUAGGAAGGAACACCAGUGGCGAAGGCGACCACCUGGACUGAUACUGACACUGAGGUGCGAAAGCGUGGGGAGCAAAC